GGCUGUGGAAGGCCGCCACCAGCUGUGGCAAGUCCGUGAUUUCAAUACGCUUGGCGAUGGUGAGGCCUGCGGUCGAGUUGUGACAUCAGAACUGCACAAAGAAUAAACGGCACCGAAGAAAGUACACCACCCUGCAAACAGGAAGGAUAAGUGUGACAGCUCGCCAUUAAUUUUCACACAUUGUGACCGAUCUGACAGAAAGUCUAACAACCAACCUACAAGAUUUGGAUUCAGAUGAAACGCUGACAAAAGUUCAUUCGCAAGAAGAUAGGGCUGGGUAGUAUUAAAUGCAGAUGGAAAAUCAACAAACCACAGCCUUGGAUGUGUUUUAGGGACGUCCAGAUGUUCCACUAAAAGGUUUAUUAAAAACAGAGUGGCGUCCUGCACACUCCCGCCUGAGGAGGACCUAAAGUGGCCAGCAGCCUGUUUCAGAUCGCCCUUUUUCAUUAUCCUCACAAAGCCUUCAUCACCAAGGAGGUGAAGGCUACUGGUCUGAAGACAUUGAGGACUUCAUGGCUCUUAUAUUUUUGCAACAGGAACAAUUGUGGCAUGUUUCCACGCUUUACAAUCUGCUGCUGAAGAGACUGAUUAGAAAUCAUUUUCAAAAUUUCACUAAGUUAUAAAGCACAAUGCUCUGUCAUUUCUGAAAGUGCAAGAACUACAGUAGCUACACUAGGUGUGUUACUGUCUUAGGAGCAUGCACGUGGUGCUGACAUGGUGGAGGUACAAUAUAAUCAUUUUUAAAAAUUACAUUUGCAUACCCUUCCCCUUCUUCUCUGUUUGUGGUGUAUUCUGAUACACUAUUACAGCACCACAUAUAGUAUUUUUGUGUGGACGAGGAUAAUCCUACAAAUAAUCCCAUGUUUCCAGUUAACUUUUUAAAUAAAUAGAGCAGGAAAAACA
This is a long non-coding RNA of Poecilia latipinna (sailfin molly), 903 nucleotides long. RefSeq lists it as uncharacterized. The transcript is spliced from 2 exons. Lineage: Eukaryota; Metazoa; Chordata; Actinopteri; Cyprinodontiformes; Poeciliidae. The record is from RefSeq and is a predicted model, not a curated record.